GCCCGGGUGGUGGAACCGGUAGACACGGGGGACUUAAAAUCCCCUCCGCAAGGGUGCGGGUUCGAGCCCCGCCCCGGGCA
This 80-nucleotide transfer RNA is filed under the name Myxococcales bacterium. RNAcentral's name for it is "tRNA-Leu". It matches the Rfam family "tRNA". Rfam says of the family: Transfer RNA (tRNA) molecules are approximately 80 nucleotides in length. Their secondary structure includes four short double-helical elements and three loops (D, anti-codon, and T loops). Further hydrogen bonds mediate the characteristic L-shaped molecular structure. tRNAs have two regions of fundamental functional importance: the anti-codon, which is responsible for specific mRNA codon recognition, and the 3' end, to which the tRNAs corresponding amino acid is attached (by aminoacyl-tRNA synthetases). tRNAs cope with the degeneracy of the genetic code in two manners: having more than one tRNA (with a specific anti-codon) for a particular amino acid; and 'wobble' base-pairing, i.e. permitting non-standard base-pairing at the 3rd anti-codon position. The record is from RNAcentral. Lineage: Bacteria; Pseudomonadati; Myxococcota; Myxococcia; Myxococcales.